GCUUGUGCAAAAGUAUUGGUUAAUUUACAUACAACCUUAUUCUCUUUCCUCAUUUAUUACAUGACACAACAUCAAAAAUCUGAUGUGUCAAAAUUACCAACAACUAUUUUACAAUCAUUAAAGAUGCCCUUACCGGGCUUACCGACAUGUAGAUUGUAGAACGCGGUGGUGCGAUUAAUGGAUCUCCCAAACCGGCUCACCUUCCUUCCUUGGCGCCAACGAAACGAAGACGCUGAACCGACAUCCCUCUGCCUCUGCGCAUCUAUAAAUUCGGCCCGGGGCUCCCCAUCAUCUGUUUUCCCUUCGCCUCCUUCUUCCUGCUCCGUUCCGCUCCGCCGUCCACUUUCAUCUCAGGGAUCUUGGGCAGGACAGGAGCCGGAACCGCCGCCACCGCCGCCGCAGUUCGUACCUACGUACGUGCCGGAUGCCUGUAAUAACUGGUUUCUGUCCCGUACGUUUCUGCUCUGUUUCUUGCUUCCUUGCAUGAUCGUGAUGCAGAGGAGGAGCCAGGAACCGUGAAACGGCGCCGUAAAUCAUGCUUGGCCACCGCCGCCUCUGAUCGGACGGACAGAGAGAGGCACCGCUGCCGCCGGAGAAGAAGAAGGAGGAGGCCGGACCUAGGGCACCGCGGCAGAUUCAAAGUCGAUCCAAACGAAAUUCCACUGUUAACCAAACUAAAAAGAAUCUGUUUAACUUGCCGGUGCAUGGUUUACAUCUUCAGGGUUUUGCUGGUAGUACUGUUUAACUUCAGGGUUCACUAGGCCGAGGAAGAUUUACAUCUUUCGAUGUUCCAAUGGACGAACAUCACAAUCAGUUCCUGCUGCUGCUGCCAGAUUGUGAGCUGUGGCUAGAUAGAUUGCAGUCCUGUCCUGUGUUUUUCGGUGCAGGCAUGCAUCCAUGUCACUGCUAACAUAAUUCACAGCUUGGACGGAACGGGAUCAUGAUAAUGACCAGGCUUCAAAACUUGCCUGAUUUGGUCUAUGCAAAUGCAGCUCCGUUUAAUUACAACGCGUAUGCUUUGUUUUGCAUCCAUCAAAACAACAAUCUUCACCACAUUCGCAGUGCACAUGCAGGCCUGAACAUCGCACUCCAAGAAUCAUUCAGAGUUGCAUCCAAUCCAACACACUGGCAAUAGGAUUUCAAGAUGAGGAGGAGCAGAGGGCCUCUUCUUCUUGCUGCCAUGGCGUUGGUGAUCCUAUCGCCGUCGCUGUGCCCCGCAGCCACUGCAUGGGGCAUCUUCUCCUCGCCUAAACCCACGAGCCAGUCCG
RNAcentral lists this long non-coding RNA (1268 nucleotides) under Hordeum vulgare. RNAcentral's name for it is "long non-coding RNA (HVUL_LNC002929)". Lineage: Eukaryota; Viridiplantae; Streptophyta; Magnoliopsida; Poales; Poaceae. The record is from RNAcentral.